GACGAACGCUGGCGGCGUGCUUAACACAUGCAAGUCGGACGAGGACGGGAGCUUGCUCCUGAUCCGAGUGGCGAACGGGUGAGUAACACGUGACCAACCUGUCCUAGGGUGAGGGACAACCUGGGGAAACCCGGGCUAAUACCGCAUGAUGUCUCGAGGUCGCAUGGCCUUGAGAUCAAAGAGGGCCUCUGCUUGCAAGCUCUCGCCCAGGGAGGGGGUCGCGGCGUAUCAGCUAGUUGGUAGGGUAAUGGCCUACCAAGGCUACGACGCGUAGCGGGUCUGAGAGGACGACCCGCCUCAUUGGGACUGAGAUACGGCCCAGACUCCUACGGGUGGCAG
RNAcentral lists this ribosomal RNA (339 nucleotides) under uncultured Gemmatimonadota bacterium. RNAcentral describes it as "bacterial SSU rRNA". It matches the Rfam family "Bacterial small subunit ribosomal RNA", at positions 28 to 351 of the family's 1533-position model. The record is from RNAcentral. Lineage: Bacteria; Pseudomonadati; Gemmatimonadota.